Long non-coding RNA from Gasterosteus aculeatus aculeatus (three-spined stickleback), 1039 nucleotides. The record is from Ensembl. NCBI's taxonomy places the organism in Eukaryota, Metazoa, Chordata, Actinopteri, Perciformes, Gasterosteidae.
CGACAAUCAGCCAUCAAGGGACUCUGAUAUGAACCCGGGUCUUCCUGCCAGUCAGCGCCAGAUCGUUCCGCCGUCAGAGUGUGCUCGAGGAUUCCUACCUGCCGGCAGGCGGGCUCUGAGAGGCCAUUCUUCCCUGCAGAAUCAACCCGUCCUCGUGCGCCACUUUAUAUAUAUAUAUAUAUGUUUGAAUAAAUACCUUAUUUUUCCAGUCGGAAGAACCUCCCUGUGACUCCUGUGUGCUGCCACUAGGACACUCACUAAGGAGCCACCAGGCUUUCAGCAUCUGGCCAUAGGACACUCACUAAGGAGCCACCAGGCUUUCAGCAUCUGGCCGUAGGACACUCACUUAGGAGCCACCAGGCUUUCAGCAUCUGGCCAUAAGACACUCACUAAGGAGCCACCAGGCUUUCAGCAUCUGGCCAUAGGACACUUACUAAGGAGCCACCAGGCUUUCAGCAUCUGGCCGUAGGACACUCACUAAGGAGCCACCAGGCUUUCAUCAUCUGGCCGAAGGACACUCACUAAGGAGCCACCAGGCUUUCAGGAUCUGGCCGUAGGACACUCACUAAGGAGCCACCAGGGUUUCAGCAUCUGGCCGUAGGACACUCACUAAGGAGCCACCAGACGUCCGGCUGAAUCGUCUCACAGGGUGAAAAAGCAUGGAGGUCUCAUCACUCCACCACACUUUGUGGUCUUUACUGCGCCUCGAAUCCACUGAUGAAAGAACAAAGACUGUAUUUGAACUUGUUUACUCUACUGGAGACACAAACGUCACACAUCUCAAAUCCAACGUCUCUAUUAUCUGGUGACAUGAAGGUUCAACUCUCCCUCUCACCAUAGUGUGCUCUUCAUGAGCUCUUCAUCACCUCCUGCUGCUUCGGGGCAAUCUAGAGGUUAUUCUCACCCUGGUUCUCACCACGGAAGAAUUUCGCUUUCAAACUAAUAUUGUGAUUUUUCAAGCGUGAAUGCAAUGAGGAGAUAUUUAUAAAUGACUUUUUCUGAUUUCACGGUAGAACACAAGAACGUUAACGACAUACUU